This 427-nucleotide ribosomal RNA is filed under the name uncultured Acinetobacter sp. Its description in RNAcentral is "bacterial SSU rRNA". It matches the Rfam family "Bacterial small subunit ribosomal RNA", at positions 356 to 774 of the family's 1533-position model. The record is from RNAcentral. Lineage: Bacteria; Pseudomonadati; Pseudomonadota; Gammaproteobacteria; Moraxellales; Moraxellaceae.
GGGGAAUAUUGGACAAUGGGGGGAACCCUGAUCCAGCCAUGCCGCGUGUGUGAAGAAGGCCUUAUGGUUGUAAAGCACUUUAAGCGAGGAGGAGGCUCUUUUGUUUAUUCCCCAAGUUGAGUGGAGGUAACUCGCAGAUUAGGACCUGGUUAACUCGUUGCCAGCAGCCGCGGUAAUACAGAGGGUGCGAGCGUUAAUCGGAUUUACUGGGCGUAAAGCGUGCGUAGGCGGCUUUUUAAGUCGGAUGUGAAAUCCCCGAGCUUAACUUGGGAAUUGCAUUCGAUACUGGGAAGCUAGAGUAUGGGAGAGGAUGGUAGAAUUCCAGGUGUAGCGGUGAAAUGCGUAGAGAUCUGGAGGAAUACCGAUGGCGAAGGCAGCCAUCUGGCCUAAUACUGACGCUGAGGUACGAAAGCAUGGGGAGCAAACA